GCUGGAAACGCAGCCCCUCCCCCGGGCUCUCCAGCAGCCAACGCCACCGGGGGCUCUGUCCCCACGGCUGCCCACGGGACGGCACGAUCGGCCCCCACGUCGCAGGGCUGGUCCCCCCAUCGGGGGAGAGCAGCCCCAGGAAUCGGCCCCGCUCAGCACCAUGUUCAUUAUCGUGAGAUAUGGAGACUGCAUUGAUCUUCUGGAUGAAACGGGCGCCCUGAUGAACCUCAGCAAAGUGGAAAACCCUGCAUCUGAAUUCGCCAGUAAAUACCUACAGGAAAGGAAGCGCUACAUCCUCAUCCGAGUCGUCCGAAGAGAAAACGCUGACCUCACCAGCUACGAAUCCUUGCUGGAGAACCUGGGGAAACACUACCCUGACCUACCAGGUAAGGCAGACACCCACCUCGCUCCUACAGAGGAGCCAGGGGUGCUGGUAGGACCCCUCUCCCCACCACUGCUCUCACACACCAUCCGUGGGACUGUCCUCUGCGCUCUGCCCAGGCCCCUCACAACACCGAGCUUGGACUGGUUGUGGCCAUGGGUAGCAAGAGAAGGGACAAGGAGAACCUCUCCCAGGCAGGAGAACCUCAGACCCUUGCUGCCCUCCCACCCCAUGCCAGGCAGAAGCCCCCCUCCCCAGCUUGGUGAGGUCCAAAGCAGAGAGGGGACAGUUUCUUGGGGCAAACAGGGAAGAGAGGAUCAGGAAACCCAGACAUCCAUCUCCCAGCCCGCAGCCGGACAGGUUGGUGUAGCCCAAGGGGCACCUGAGCAAGAGAGAAGGAAAAGCCCUAACUGCUGGGGUGGGGGGGCUGCUCCACAGAUCGGCUGCAGAAGCUCUCAGCAAGACAGAGCUGGAGAAGAGGCUCUUUCCAGAGGAAGGCUCAGGCCCUCAGCAGCACCUCAGCCAGGUCCAGACCCACCUCACCCAGGUCCAGGCCCGCCUCACCCAGCAGGAAGAGCUUAAGGGCACCCCUGGAUGAGGACCGGACCUGAUGGGAACGGGCCCUUUACUGGUCACAAACGCAGCAUGGCCGCCACCAGGGCUCACCCACAGUGCUGUAGCACCCCACCACUCACCCCCCACUUAGCCAGAACCCUCCGCUAAUUAACUGCUCUUCCUGGGACCCCCUGCUCCACUCCAAAGUUCACAUUCCUGCAUCCCAAGCUGCACCUUGACCAGCCACACAAACACAACACGAGCAGCAGCCUCCAGAGACACGAGUCCUCGGCUCCAGCAGCAGCACUGGCCAGCACACCAACAUCAGUCCAAUGGUUAUUUCUUAAAGGGGGUUAAUUAAAACAACUUCAUAAUAGCAGUUCCUCCCUGCUCACACCAGUGCAGCUCAGCACACAGAGUGCUUUGAGUCUCUGGCAUCUACUUCUUCCUUUGGCUGUCCCUCUGGGGAGCAGAAGCCACCCCAGAUAAGGCCAGGCACCACUCAGGACGUCACCUGCCACCAAGAAUUUAGGUCUUGACAUUUACAAGGGGUAGGACUUUCAACACCAGCCUCCAGGAUCCGUCUCCAGCUUUCACCAUCCAGAUCUGGGCUUCCUCACAGACUCAGCGAGGGGCUGGGCAGUUGCCCAGCAUCCAACAGCGAACAGGUUAAUUCUGCCAUGAAGAUUCAGUGGUUAAGCCUCCAAAAGCAUCACCACGUGCCACUAAAACACCAGCUGAAGCCUCAAAGUUCUCCUUCCCACCAAGGACAGAGCAGGGCCUCCUGCUGGAGGCAGCAGCCAUGAGCCUGCUCUGCCACAGGCAGUCAGAGGAAAGCAGAAAGCUCACCCCGCUGCUGGUGACCUUGAGCAGGUUGCAUAAGCUGCUCCGGCCUUUCGGCGAGAUCAGCCGACUGUAUCCCAGUCACCCUGCCAGGCAGGUCACACUGUCUUAGCUCCAGCGUCACAAGAGCCCUUCAGGAAGAGGAUAUCGAUGGAAAGAUAGAUUUGUUACUGAAAAUACCGCGGGGGACAGCUCGGAUUGCCUCCCUCCAGCCCCUCCUCUGCCUGGAGGGCAUCCAGCCCGGCCUCAGCUCACUCCUGAUCGGCUUUUGCCAAGUCAUGGGGCACAGUCCCUGCGAGGCCGCCCCUCCUGUCGGCAGGAAAUAUGCCUUUGUGCCUUGUCCCUUAAGUGCCUGACACUGUUAACAUUUUGGUAGCUUAAUUUUAGCUUGAAGAAUUAAAUAAAGAACAUGCACCAGUGACA
This 2203-nucleotide long non-coding RNA is filed under the name Calidris pugnax (ruff). RNAcentral's name for it is "lncRNA (ENSCPUG00000006137.1)". The record is from RNAcentral. Lineage: Eukaryota; Metazoa; Chordata; Aves; Charadriiformes; Scolopacidae.